UUGAACUGAAGAGUUUGAUCCUGGCUCAGAUUGAACGCUGGCGGCAUGCCUUACACAUGCAAGUCGAACGGCAGCACGGGUGCUUGCACCUGG
Molecule: ribosomal RNA, 93 nt
Filed under: Burkholderia cenocepacia
Lineage: Bacteria; Pseudomonadati; Pseudomonadota; Betaproteobacteria; Burkholderiales; Burkholderiaceae
Description: partial 16S ribosomal RNA
Rfam family: Bacterial small subunit ribosomal RNA
Source: RNAcentral